UACGUAGGGGGCUAGCGUUGUCCGGAAUCAUUGGGCGUAAAGCGCGUGUAGGCGGCCCGGUAAGUCCGCUGUGAAAGUCCAGGGCUCAACCCUGGGAUGCCGGUGGAUACUGUCGGGCUCGAGUCCGGAAGAGGAGUGUGGAAUUCCCGGUGUAGUGGUGAAAUGCGCAGAUAUCAGGAGGAACACCAAUGGCGAAGGCAGCUCACUGGGACGUUACUGACGCUGAGACGCGAAAGCGUGGGGAGCAAACAGG
RNAcentral lists this ribosomal RNA (253 nucleotides) under uncultured bacterium. RNAcentral describes it as "partial 16S ribosomal RNA". It matches the Rfam family "Bacterial small subunit ribosomal RNA", at positions 524 to 776 of the family's 1533-position model. The record is from RNAcentral.